CGGCCCGCCGGGCGCUGGGACUCCUUCCUGGCGCGCAGCCUGCGGCGGUCCCUGGCGCGGCGACUGCUGCGGGCGACUCUCCCGCUGGGACGCGGGCACCCGGCCACCGGGCAACCCGGCCGAAGCCGGCGCGGGUGAUGGGCCGGGAUUGAAGAGCCCGCCUCCCAUUUCUGGGGAGACACUGAGGCAUCAGGACUUGAGCCGUGUUCCUGAUUUUAUACAGAUACCAUUGGGGGUAUAGCUCAGGGGUAGAGCAUUUGACUGCAGAUACCAUGGCUCCGUAUAUAAAGGACAUUCGCUAAAAUGCAAAAUCCGUCAGCUGGAACCAAAAUGUUGGUAAGAGUAGAAAGAAGGAAACUCUGUAAAGAUCGGUUAUCACAGAUGUGGAGAGUGGGAAGAAAUUGCCAGACACCAUUAACAGGGAAGGGAGGAAGGAAGACAUCACAAGGAAACCUUUGUGUCUGAGCCUAGGGUUCAUUGUGGGGGAACAGCAUCUCCCCUGAGAAUCUGUGAUUAUAGACCUGCCUUC
This is a long non-coding RNA of Leopardus geoffroyi (Geoffroy's cat), 529 nucleotides long. RefSeq lists it as uncharacterized. The record is from RefSeq and is a predicted model, not a curated record. The transcript has 5 exons. Lineage: Eukaryota; Metazoa; Chordata; Mammalia; Carnivora; Felidae.